This 152-nucleotide ribosomal RNA is filed under the name uncultured fungus. RNAcentral's name for it is "5.8S ribosomal RNA". It matches the Rfam family "5.8S ribosomal RNA". From Rfam's summary of the family: 5.8S ribosomal RNA (5.8S rRNA) is a component of the large subunit of the eukaryotic ribosome. It is transcribed by RNA polymerase I as part of the 45S precursor that also contains 18S and 28S rRNA. Functionally, it is thought that 5.8S rRNA may be involved in ribosome translocation. Lineage: Eukaryota; Fungi. The record is from RNAcentral.
CAACUUUCAACAACGGAUCUCUUGGCUCUCGCAUCGAUGAAGAACGCAGCGAAAUGCGAUAAGUAAUGUGAAUUGCAGAUUUUCAGUGAAUCAUCGAAUCUUUGAACGCACCUUGCGCUCCUUGGUAUUCCGAGGAGCAUGCCUGUUUGAGU